UCGACUCCAGGUAUGAGCACUCCUGAGCUUGAUGGCUGGAUGUGUGCACACAUGUAAUGGGGUAUCAUGGUCACGUUGCUUGGUGUGCAGAGGCGACCCGGCACCGGCACUUGCCCGGCGGUGGGACUUCGCUGUGGCCGGUGGGAGAGUUGGGCGGCAGCAAGCGGUGCGGCGAGGGGAGGCGCACGGUCCAGAGGUGGGACUCUUGCUAGCCGCUCUCCCGUUCCAUUUGGUUUCUUGCGGCCACGGUGGCGUUUCUCGGAUCGAGCGCCGCUCGUCCUUCUCUUCACUACUUCUCCACAACGCUAGCCCCUCCACCUCUCCUUCCUCCCCCUCGUUGUGUGGUGUCCAUGGGAUGUGCCUAGAUCCAGAUCAGGCGUAGGUUAGGUGAGGCUGAUGGUUGGGUGAAGGAGUAGGGAAAGCUGGCGACGAGGACAGGAAGAAGCCGGCCGUCGUGGUGCAGUGGGGCUGCCGGGAAGGAAGAGGUCGGCUGCGUCCCCGGCGGUGUCGGUGGAGCUGCUCCUCAACGAGAUUCGGCCAUGGAGAGGACCGUGGUGCCAGCGCAGCCUCGCCCCCUCUAGCGCAGCGCAAGAGAUCAGCACACCAUCGAACUGAGGAAUUCCACAUAUUGAACCUUCAAGAUGACUUGAAAUGGACCUGGACAAUGUGAAUUGGGGCCAGUAUCUAAACACUCUGUUUUGCAAUCUCAACUAUUGGGAUUGAAUCAGUAUGCUGGCUGGAGAGGAUUGACGGGGCUGCUCUCAUUUUCGGUUUGCUACUGCUCCUUGCAUUCUACCGCUUCUCAUUGUUGUCAUAAGAAGAUGAGAUGUUCUUCGGUACGAUGCUCCUGGCGUGUUUGAUGAAAUGUCUAUAAGAUGAUAUGUUAGUCAUUCUCUCUUUCCUUCUUGGUUGGUUCUUGGGUCCUCCAUGUCGUUAGCCAUCAAGGCAGACAAGACGGUGAAGAUCUGCUGCAUAUGAGUUGGCUACGUCCGCGGCCCAACAACGGUUGUCAUUGCCAUCAAGUGCCCAACAAUUGAGGUGGUGGUUGUCGACAUCUCCAAGCCCCGCAUUCACGCCUGGAACAAUGACACCCUCCCGAUCUACGAGCCCGGCCUCGAUGAUGUUGUCAAGGCGUGCAGGGGCAAGAACCUCUUCUUCAGCACCGACGUCGAGAAGCACAUCGCCGAGGCCGACAUCAUCUUUGUCUCGGUGAACACCCCCACCAAGACCCGCAGUCUGGGAGCCGGCAAGGCUGCCGACCUCACCUACUGGGAGAGCGCAGCCCGGAUGAUUGCCGACGUGUCCAACUCCGACAAGAUCGAUGUUGAUGAGUCCACUCUCCUUGUCAAGACCGCAGAGGCCAUUGAGAAGAUCCUGACCCACAACAACAAGGGCAUCAACUACCAGAUCCUGACCAACCCAGAGUUUCCUUGCCGAGGGCACGGCGACCGACGACCUGUUCAAGCCCGACAGAGUGCUCAUCGGUGGCCGGGAGACCCCCGAGGGCAGGAAGGCUGUCCAGGCCAUCAAGGAGGUGUACGCCUACUGGGUGUCCGAGGAGAACAUCGUCACCACCAACCUGUGGUCUGAUGAGCUCUCCAAGCUCGCUGCCAACGCCUUCCUGGCAUAGAGGAUCUGCUCCGUGAACGCCAUGUCGGUGCUCUGUGAGGCCACGUGCGUGCUCGUGCUCAUGGUGGUUUCCCAUAUAUCAGCAGCGCGGAGGAGCUGGUAUCCUCAGCCAGAGUUGGGUGUACUUGCGGGCGACCUCACCCUCACCAGUGCAUCUGCAGGGGGCUGCUCUUUGAUUCAGAGUAAAAUCAAGUUCUUUACCUAUGGAGGAGGUAGAUACUGAUGGAGUGGAUGACAAGGUGUUCUCCAGGUUCUGCAUCAUCUCCAUAUUCUGCAUCAUUAGUGAGCAACUUACCUAGGGAGGAGGUAGAUACUGACAGAGUGUAUGAGCAGUGAAUAAAAUAGAGGAGUGGCCUGUUCACCGGAGCAAGCGAGGAAGAUAGCUCAGCCCGACCACCAACGUCCACUCACCGGUUUCUUUGAUGCCUCGACCUCGAGCUGCAUCAGCUCGUUGAUAUGUGAUGGACAUCUCCCAGCAGUCCCUCGAUUGCCAGGCCACCGCGCCCGACCUCGACAAGGCGUUCAGAUGGUUGUCGAGGCAGGUGCUGCUGUACCAGCGGUGCUGCUAUGUUGCUCUGCCCUCAACCAUCCAAAUCAUUUCUACCAGACCCAAUCUUCCACUACCAUCUCAUACAUAUGCAGGUACUAUCCAGUAUCUAUGCAUGAGCUACCGAGCGUGAGUGUGGCCAUCACCCAGGAGCAGGAAGAAGAUGGUUUAAUAUAUUGGUGUCAGAGCGCUUGUUGCAAUAACCGUCAAAUCUUGAUUGUAUUAUAUUGAUCGGACCAAGCACUUUUUGGAUAAAUUAGCAUGAAGUGAUCAGGAGCAGAGAAAUAGAUAUGUCUUGAAGAAAUGGAUAUAUAUGGUUUUUAAGGUUACAUGAAGAUAUAUAUGUCUGGAUCAAGUUGAGUACUGAGGGAAUUGCUUGAACCUGGCAUCGAAGGUGAGCCGUCGCCAAUCCCAGCCCGUUGCCAAGCACCGUCUUAUUCUGCAGCAAAAACGGCCACCCAUUCCGAAUCCCACCAGAUGCGGCUAACACUGGGUUUUAGAAUCGCUCAAUCUUAUUUUAUCCAUGAAUUCACCGCCUCGUAUUUGACCUGCCUCUCCACCCUUUGGCAAAUACUUCAGAUUUUCACAAUUUUCCAGACUUUUCUGCCAUGAUUGCAUAUAACCUCUAUAGUUAUUUACUUAACUGAUUGUUAGGCCUGCUAUGCAUCACACGAUAUAUAUAAUGCAACAGCUGGUACACUGUUUAGCCCCAUAUCUACAGUACUUACAGACAUUAGCCGGCAAAAGGAAUUAAAUAGCCACAAACGGUUGAUGCACAUAUAUUACGUACUGGUUUAUUUAUAAAAGAACCAAACUAGACAAGUUAAAUCCAUCUUAGUACUCUUUUUAAAGUGCAUAAUUAAACUGUAUGCCCACAAUUGCUAUUGCCAGCUAACAAGUUUCUGAUUUCUCGCACUAACAAUUCUCACGAUGCUUAUACAGGGUGAAGAAUAUGAGCAUCCGGAGUAUAUCAUUCGCAGUGAGCCAAUGCCAAGCUACAAUGCUUAUUAUCUUGUUCUGAUAUUCCCCAUUUAAAAUAAAAUGACCUAAUAGUUUUUAUGAUCUGCUAUACCUCUCUGACACCAAUUUUCUGCCAUAGAACCGAAAGAACAUAUAUUAGGCCGAUCAAUAAUGCUCAAGUUAACUAACUUGCUUACUAUAUUCUUCCUACCAUAGGUUUAAAGCUUAAUUCUACUUUUCUCUUGAUGAAAGCUUAGUCUCCUAACAAUAAAUAGUAUUCAGCCUCCUUACAUGUCAUUUCGAUCUUUCCAAAUCUUACCAAAACGAAACUAAAUUCAGGACCACCCCCUGCUAUCCAAUAUUGCAGAGAGCUUGAAAGGUACUGUCACUGGGGCAAUGAAGUGAAGAUCUAUCAGCACCAUGUGAACAAGUUGUUUGCCAUGUUCCGCCGCAGAAAAACAGAUAUCAAAUACUAUGUCUGCACCAUCAACAAAACAUUUGCAAAGCUAGGCCAACCGAUGUAUUUUCAGGUCAACUACACUGAAAGAAAACUAAAUGAUUACAUUGACCCAGAUUAUGAUACGCUCAAGGUCAGGCUUGCAAACAGUGAUCUACAAGCCAAUUGCCGCAUCAUGCUAGGAACCGACAAGAGAGCCAUUGUAACAAUCAACUGGUCUGAGUUCCGUUGCCUUGCAAAAAUCCAUGGAGACAUCUCUGCCUUUCGUUUCAAGGUCACCACAAAGCAGCGCCGGGUUCUCAUCGUGCAUUUUUGUCGUGGUGACUACUCUCAGCCAGAUAUGUAUAGACUUUAGUCCUUCCUUGCUGUCUCUAUGGUGAAAAGUAGUCUACGAUCUUUAGAUUUUAUUGUUGUCUCUAUGGUCAAAAGCGGUUUACCAUCUCUUAUUGUAUAUAUGUGAAGGACUCCUCUUCUACUGUUGUUUCCAGAACACUAUGACUCAAGAAACAACCUUUCCUUUUAUGCAUGCUUUCACAUUAA
This is an RNA transcript of Triticum dicoccoides, 4133 nucleotides long. RefSeq lists it as uncharacterized. The transcript has 9 exons. Lineage: Eukaryota; Viridiplantae; Streptophyta; Magnoliopsida; Poales; Poaceae. The record is from RefSeq and is a predicted model, not a curated record.